This 76-nucleotide transfer RNA is filed under the name Dinoroseobacter phage vB_DshP-R7L. Its description in RNAcentral is "tRNA-Ile". It matches the Rfam family "tRNA". From Rfam's summary of the family: Transfer RNA (tRNA) molecules are approximately 80 nucleotides in length. Their secondary structure includes four short double-helical elements and three loops (D, anti-codon, and T loops). Further hydrogen bonds mediate the characteristic L-shaped molecular structure. tRNAs have two regions of fundamental functional importance: the anti-codon, which is responsible for specific mRNA codon recognition, and the 3' end, to which the tRNAs corresponding amino acid is attached (by aminoacyl-tRNA synthetases). tRNAs cope with the degeneracy of the genetic code in two manners: having more than one tRNA (with a specific anti-codon) for a particular amino acid; and 'wobble' base-pairing, i.e. permitting non-standard base-pairing at the 3rd anti-codon position. The record is from RNAcentral. Lineage: Duplodnaviria; Heunggongvirae; Uroviricota; Caudoviricetes; Schitoviridae.
AGAAGUGUAGCUCAGUCGGUAGAGCGUGCGAUUGAUAAUCGUAAGGUCGCUGGUUCAAUCCCAGCCACUUCUACCA